UACGGAGGGAGCUAGCGUUGUUCGGAAUUACUGGGCGUAAAGCGCGCGUAGGCGGCUUUGUAAGUUAGAGGUGAAAGCCCGGGGCUCAACCCCGGAAUUGCCUUUAAGACUGCAUCGCUAGAAUCCAGGAGAGGUGAGUGGAAUUCCGAGUGUAGAGGUGAAAUUCGUAGAUAUUCGGAGGAACACCAGAAGCGAAGGCGGCUCACUGGCCCGAUACUGACGCUGAGGCGCGAAAGCGUGGGGAGCAAACAGG
This 253-nucleotide ribosomal RNA is filed under the name uncultured bacterium. Its description in RNAcentral is "partial 16S ribosomal RNA". It matches the Rfam family "Bacterial small subunit ribosomal RNA", at positions 524 to 776 of the family's 1533-position model. The record is from RNAcentral.